This 255-nucleotide ribosomal RNA is filed under the name Klebsiella pneumoniae. Its description in RNAcentral is "partial 23S ribosomal RNA". It matches the Rfam family "Bacterial large subunit ribosomal RNA", at positions 389 to 645 of the family's 2925-position model. The record is from RNAcentral. Lineage: Bacteria; Pseudomonadati; Pseudomonadota; Gammaproteobacteria; Enterobacterales; Enterobacteriaceae.
UGCACUGGUUGUGAACUCGAAGAGUUGGGAGGGACACGUGGUAUCCUGUAUGAAUAUGGGGGGACCAUCCUCCAAGGCUAAAUACUCCUGACUGACCGAUAGUGAAACAGUACCGUGAGGGAAAGGCGAAAAGAACCCCGGCGAGGGGAGUGAAAAAGAACCUGAAACCGAGUACGUACAAGCAGUGGGAGCACCUUCGGGUGUGACUGCGUACCUGUUGUAUAAUGGGUCAGCGACUGAUAUUCUGUCGCACGG